AGAGUUUGAUCCUGGCUCAGAUUGAACGCUGGCGGCAGGCCUAACACAUGCAAGUCGAGCGGAUGAGUGGAGCUUGCUCCAUGAUUCAGCGGCGGACGGGUGAGUAAUGCCUAGGAAUCUGCCUGGUAGUGGGGGACAACGUUUCGAAAGGAACGCUAAUACCGCAUACGUCCUACGGGAGAAAGCAGGGGACCUUCGGGCCUUGCGCUAUCAGAUGAGCCUAGGUCGGAUUAGCUAGUUGGUGAGGUAAAGGCUCACCAAGGCGACGAUCCGUAACUGGUCUGAGAGGAUGAUCAGUCACACUGGAACUGAGACACGGUCCAGACUCCUACGGGAGGCAGCAGUGGGGAAUAUUGGACAAUGGGCGAAAGCCUGAUCCAGCCAUGCCGCGUGUGUGAAGAAGGUCUUCGGAUUGUAAAGCACUUUAAGUUGGGAGGAAGGGCAGUAAGUUAAUACCUUGCUGUUUUGACGUUACCGGCAGAAUAAGCACCGGCUAACUUCGUGCCAGCAGCCGCGGUAAUACGAAGGGUGCAAGCGUUAAUCGGAAUUACUGGGCGUAAAGCGCGCGUAGGUGGUUCGUUAAGUUGGAUGUGAAAGCCCCGGGCUCAACCUGGGAACUGCAUCCAAAACUGGCGAGCUAGAGUAUGGCAGAGGGUGGUGGAAUUUCCUGUGUAGCGGUGAAAUGCGUAGAUAUAGGAAGGAACACCAGUGGCGAAGGCGACCACCUGGGCUAAUACUGACACUGAGGUGCGAAAGCGUGGGGAGCAAACAG
Molecule: ribosomal RNA, 772 nt
Filed under: bacterium enrichment culture clone 105
Lineage: Bacteria
Also listed under: 1 other name
Description: bacterial SSU rRNA
Rfam family: Bacterial small subunit ribosomal RNA
Source: RNAcentral